This 496-nucleotide ribosomal RNA is filed under the name uncultured bacterium. Its description in RNAcentral is "partial 16S ribosomal RNA". It matches the Rfam family "Bacterial small subunit ribosomal RNA", at positions 28 to 507 of the family's 1533-position model. The record is from RNAcentral.
GACGAACGCUGGCGGCGUGCCUAAUACAUGCAAGUAGAACGCUGAAGUGAGGAGCUUGCUCUUCUUGCAUGAGUUGCGAACGGGUGAGUAACGCGUAGGUAACCUGCCUUUUAACGGGGGAUAACUUUUGGAAACGAUAGCUAAUACCGCAUAACAUUGGAUACCACAUGGCAUUUAUUUGAAAGAGGCAAUUGCUCUACUACAAGAUGGACUUCCGUGGUAUUAGCUAGUAGGUAAGGUAACGGCUCACCAAGGCAACGAUGCGUAGCCGACCUGAGAGGGGGACGGCCAACAUGGGACUGAAGAAACGGCCAAGCCUCCUCGGGGAGGAGGAGUAAGGGAUCCUCCGGAAUGGGGGGAAAGCCGAACGGGGAAAGCCGGGUGGAUGAAGGAGGUUUUCGGGACCGAAAGAUCUGGUGAAUGGGGAGGAAGAGAGUUGUAGGGGAAAAUUCACGUUGUGACGGUAGCUUAUCAGAAAGCGACGGCUAACUACGUG